UAACUGCUCGAAAGAGCAGCUAAUACCGCAUACGACCUGAGGGUGAAAGCGGGGGAUCGCAAGACCUCGCGCGAUUGGAGCGGCCGAUAUCAGAUUAGGUAGUUGGUGAGGUAAAGGCUCACCAAGCCGACGAUCUGUAGCUGGUCUGAGAGGACGACCAGCCACACUGGGACUGAGACACGGCCCAGACUCCUACGGGAGGCAGCAGUGGGGAAUUUUGGACAAUGGGCGCAAGCCUGAUCCAGCCAUGCCGCGUGCGGGAAGAAGGCCUUCGGGUUGUAAACCGCUUUUGUCAGGGAAGAAAAGGUUCUGGCUAAUACCUGGGACUCAUGACGGUACCUGAAGAAUAAGCACCGGCUAACUACGUGCCAGCAGCCGCGGUAAUACGUAGGGUGCAAGCGUUAAUCGGAAUUACUGGGCGUAAAGCGUGCGCAGGCGGUUAUGCAAGACAGAGGGUGAAAUCCCCGGGCUCAACCUGGGAACUGCCUUUGUGACUGCAUGGCUAGAGUACGGUAGAGGGGGGAUGGAAUUCCGCGUGUAGCAGUGAAAUGCGUAAGAUAUGCGGAGGAACACCGAUGGCGAAGGCAAUCCCCUGGACCUGUACUGACGCUCAUGCACGAAAAGCGUGGGGGAGCAAACAGGGAUUAGAUACCCUGGUAGUCCACGCCCUAAACGAUGUCAACUGGUUGUUGGGGAGGGUUUCUUCUCAGUAACGUAGCUAACGCGUGAAGUUGACCGCCUGGGGAGUACG
Molecule: ribosomal RNA, 751 nt
Filed under: uncultured Roseateles sp.
Lineage: Bacteria; Pseudomonadati; Pseudomonadota; Betaproteobacteria; Burkholderiales; Sphaerotilaceae
Description: bacterial SSU rRNA
Rfam family: Bacterial small subunit ribosomal RNA
Source: RNAcentral